AACGAACGCUGGCGGCAUGCCUAACACAUGCAAGUCGAACGAUACCUUCGGGUCUUUUGGCGCACUGGUGCGUAACGCGUGGGAACCUUCCUUUAGGUUCGGACUAACUCAGAGAAAUUUGAGCUAAUACCGGAUGAUUUCUUCGGACCCAAGAUUUAUCGCCUUUAGAUGGGCCCGCGUUGGAUUAGCUAGUUGGUGGGGUAAAGGCCUACCAAGGCGACGAUCCAUAGCUGGUCUGAGAGGAUGAUCAGCCACACUGGGACUGAGACACGGCCCAGACUCCUACGGGAGGCAGCAGUGGGGAAUAUUGGACAAUGGGCGAAAGCCUGAUCCAGCAAUGCCACGUGAGUGAUGAAGGCCUUAGGGUUGUAAGCUCUUUUACCCGAGAUGAUAAUGACAGUAUCGGGAGAAUAAGCUCCGGCUAACUCCGUG
Molecule: ribosomal RNA, 432 nt
Filed under: uncultured bacterium
Lineage: Bacteria
Description: partial 16S ribosomal RNA
Rfam family: Bacterial small subunit ribosomal RNA
Source: RNAcentral